GCUGUAACCCCUACUGCGGGCUGAAGCUCCUGUCUGCAGCCCUCUCCAGAUCUCUCUCUGUUUCUGGUGUGCACUAACUCGUCAUCAGGUGACAGCUCCCUAGCAUUUUAAGCCACCAGAGUUCCUGGCACCCAUCUGCUUCUAAAACCAGGAUGUUGCAAGUAGAGAAUAGAUCACACCCCUAGUUGGGUGGGAGCAUCCCAGAAGAUAUCUAAGUCGUAAGAUAAAGCUGGCAAUUCCGAGGAUCCCAUGGAAGAGUGGAAGAGUGCAGAAACACCAGCAUUGCCUUACAACUCUCGUGACAACAAAAGAAUGUGUGAUAAGGAGGCACAAAACUGAAAACUGGCACGUUGCAGGUGGUUGUUCAGCCUCAUUUUGGGACACAUCCUAUUGCAAGUAGAUAGCAGAACAAUUUUUUUCUGGAGGUUGUGAUAACUGCAUCUGGGCCAGAAUGAAAGCAGAAACAAUUGGAAAUACUUAGUUUAAUUGCCAAGAACAAGAAGAGCAAUUGUAACAGCAGUAGAAAGUAGCCUUUGAGUAAAUAUUCUCCCUGUGCCCCUAUGUGCCCCUGCCAGCCUCCGUCACAAUCUUCACAGCCCAUAGCAGCGUUUCUCAAACUUUUAUUUAUUACAGCCCAAUAAAGAGUGUUUUAAGACA
Molecule: long non-coding RNA, 657 nt
Organism: Pteropus alecto (black flying fox)
Lineage: Eukaryota; Metazoa; Chordata; Mammalia; Chiroptera; Pteropodidae
Exons: 3
Source: RefSeq, a predicted model, not a curated record